GUGUCAGCCGCCGCGGUAAUACGGAGGGUGCAAGCGUUAUCCGGAAUCAUUGGGUUUAAAGGGUCCGUAGGCGGAUAAUUAAGUCAGAGGUGAAAUCCCACAGCUUAACUGUGGAACUGCCUUUGAUACUGGUUGUCUUGAAUUAUAGUGAAGUAGAUAGAAUGUGUAGUGUAGCGGUGAAAUGCUUAGAUAUUACACAGAAUACCGAUUGCGAAGGCAGUUUACUAACUAUAUAUUGACGCUAAUGGACGAAAGCGUGGGGAGCGAACAGGAUUAGAAACCCUGGUAGUCC
This 292-nucleotide ribosomal RNA is filed under the name uncultured bacterium. RNAcentral's name for it is "partial 16S ribosomal RNA". It matches the Rfam family "Bacterial small subunit ribosomal RNA", at positions 505 to 796 of the family's 1533-position model. The record is from RNAcentral.